GACGCUCUUGAAACCAUCGUAGACUCGCGUAACAGUAGCAGAGGUUGCCGUGCUUAUACUCAGCCUGAAGUCUUCGAUAACUUUCCAAAACUCUGGAUGCGCUGCCACAUAGUCCUGAGGUUCCAUUCCAUGAGCUUCCACAAAAGCAUUGGAGUCGCCCGGCCGCUUGAUGGCAGCAUCUACAUGUUGCCACGAACGCUGAGUGACUUCGGACGUGCAGAAGGAGAGAAUGCCCCCCACGAAGACGUCACUGCUAGAGCCAUGGCUGACCAGCAGCCUGGACAUGGGAGUGAGGCCAUAGCGAGCUCCGUUGAGAGCGAGCACCUUCUUGAAGACGAGAAACCUGAGGAGUCGGAACAGCCUCUCGGCCUGGAUGCUAUCUGCAUCGUGCUUGAUCCGUAGCUCCUGAAUGAUCUCGUCCAGAGUGGCUCCUUGCUCCGACGAGAACUUGGACACGAUGUUGAAGAUGUCGAGCUUGACUGCGGCCUUGAGAGCGAAGGGCGCUGCAAAUCCCAGUGUGAGGCUCCAAAACUGGCUGUACGCUUCCAUUUGCUCGCUCGUCGCCAUUGCGAAUUGCUGCUUGGUUGCUCUGUUUGAUGGAAGAACGACCCCACCCUCGUUUCUUAUCGGUGAUGAAGUGUCGAACAGGGCGAACUUGCCGCGGAGCUGCGGCCGCACCUUCCAAGAACCUCAAACAUUUGUAGAAUAAUAGUCUCUAGAUCUCAGCGUGAGGACCUCUCUCGAAACCAUGAAUCGAAUUCUUACCAUAGUUCCCUGCGACAAUUUUCUCAGCAAUCGUGGAGAAGCGGAAGGAAGAGAUACCUGCCUAACGUAGAAGCUCCAUCGAAUAUCUCGAAAGCGGUACGACCACUCUCAAUCGUGGCGGAGGAAGAGAUACCAGUUUUAAUGUAGCCAUCGAAAUAUCUUCCAUAACGGCACCGAUCGAGUACCUGUCUCUCAAUCGCUAGAAAUUUCACUUUCCUGUGCUGGAGGAGGCCAAAGACGGCAGCAGAUCCAUCCUCUGAUCAGCGCCCGGCGACAGGAUCGCGUUGCCGCUCUCAAGAAUGCGUUAUAAACCCUAGGUUUGAUAGUCACUCUGUUAUUAGGGUUUAUAGCAAAGAUGACUUUCAUGGACAAGCUAAUGCGCGCAGUGGCGGCACUCGAGUACAAGGCGCAGCACCGCGACGAUCUCGACUGUGAGGCCUUCAACAAGCGCCCAGAGCUUACACUCGGCACCAACUGGAGCAUGGACAAAUUUGACAGGUAUUGCGAGCGCUACAAGCUCUUCUCCAAGUGUAUCUUCCGCCACGGCCGGGUCAUCGUGGUGGACGCUGGGUACACCAAUCUGAGGUACGCCAUAGUCAUGUCACAGGUUAGCAUUGCGCUCCAGCCGGCCGUUGGCAUCCCCUGGCCAUUCCAGCCCAAGGGAUCCAACCGAGUGGUGAGAUACUUGUCCCUGGGUGCCAGCCAUCGAUCUGUGAUUCCAGGGCCGCCCCGGAUCUUUGUGAGCGUCGGAGAGUACCAGACCUUGCCGGAGCUUCUCUCGUAUGUGGACUCUUACAUCCAGGAGCCAGGCUCAAAGCUCCAGUACCUCUUGGUGCUGAAGUUCUACCCCGGGUCGGGCAACCGGAUGGUGGCCGUGAUCUACGAGAUCGUCGGCAGUGGUGGUGGCGAGGGUGGUGCCAUGGUUACAAGUGCUAGCGCUGUGUCCUUUGGAGAUGAGGCGCUGUUCCCGGAGACUCUGGCUUUCCUGGCGGAGCGGGAGAUCCCAGUGACUGGUGUGGGACUCGGUGGAGAGAGGUGUGACAGAAUUGGAAUCCCGAGUUACCAGAUUAAACUUGCCACUGCGAAAGUUCUUGAGGGAGGAGACCUUGGGCUUCCAGAGAUCCGGGACAAGGGAGACAACCUGAUAUUGGAUCUCUACAUUAUCCAGGCUGCAUACGGAUGCCGUUGUCUGUGAAACUGGUUCUUCGUCUAGUUUUGGUUUGGCUUGCUAGCUUUCCUUGAAAUGAAAUUGAGAAAGGAAUAGCAGGCCCGGCGCACGAUAGCAGCAUUGGGGUGAGCGCGUGAGUACACGCAACACACCAUGCGAUCCGGGCCAUUGCCCCAGAACUUCAGCGCGAUCACAAAUCGGCAUGAUGGCAACGCGAAAUACUCCUCGCAUCUGCAGAAAACAAGCGCGAUCACAAAUGGCACAACGGCAACACGAAAUCCUCUGCACCUGCGGAAAACGCCCUGAAGCGACUGACUUGUGGCAACUUCCACAAAGCCAGAUGGAGCAUCAACAGUACCAUCCGGCUGCUGCAUGCGGAUCGUGACGUCGGGUUCCCUCCUCACGUUUGGUGCAAGAUACGCGACGAUCAAGAAGACACACUAGCUUCCAUAGCCGGAGCGUGAAGGAAGCGAAUCCCAAUUACAUUCUGCCAUCUGUAAAGUACCGUAAAAGACCAGGUCAAGAAAGGUCAAAACUUCUUCCCGCCACGAUCGCUAGAGCUUGGAGCUUAGGGCUAAGAGAUUGUAGAUUCGCUGCUGCUGCAUUUUUUGUCCAACGCAGUAAGUAAAGAUCUCUGUUAGAAAUGGAGAAAGUGAUCGGUACUUAGUUUCUUCGCCAUUGCUGAGAGAACAUCUGAGAAUUCGAUUCAUGGUCUUCGCCUUUGAAGGAUCAGUGAUGUCACAAUUCCCGUUUCGAGGUUCUUGGAAGGUGCGCCACUUCAUCACAACAGUUCUGGGGUCGUUCUUCCAUCAAACAGAGCAAGCAAGGAGCGAUUCGCAGUGGCGAGGAGCGAGCAAAUGGAAGCGUACAGUCAGUUCUGGAGCCUCACACUGGGAUUUGCAGCGCACAGUGAAGCUCGACAUCGUCAACAGAUAUCCUGUCCAAGUUCUUCUCCGGAAGCCCAAGGUCUCCUCCCCCGAGAACUUUGGCAGUGGCAAGCUUAAUCUGAUAACUCGGGAUGCCAAUUCUGUCACAGCUCUCUCCACCAAGUCCCACACCAGUCACUGGGAUCUCCCGCUCCGCCAAGAAAGCCAGAGUCUCCGGGAACAGCACCUCCUCUCCAAAAGACACAGCGUUAGCACUCGUAGCCACGGCACCACCAUCACCGCCACCACCGCCGACGAUCUCGUAGACCACGGCCACAGAUGUAUGAGCUCGGGACAAACGAGAUAAUGUCGGCUGCGAGAUUGCCGAGAACGAUAUAUAGAUAUCUACUCUUUGAUUUAGACCAGACUACUACUUACUGCUCCGUUCUUCCCUGGAUUCGAUGUGGGACCAAUUUGAUACGCAGAGGAUCGUGGGCUUUAAUGCUGGAGAUCAGACUGUAUCAAGUACGUAUUCCCGGAAAUUGGAUCUUUGGCAAUCAACCUGUCCCUCCCCAAGCUCAAGCCGUGUAUCACAUCGACCUCUACCUUGUUCAACGCGCGUUUCACGAGCAAAUAGGAAAGGCCGAGCCUUUCUUGUUUCGUGCUACUAGGGUUUAGGUGAGUUUUCUAACGUUGAGGAUUUCUACCAAGAGCCAGCGCUCGGCCGGGUCAUCGUGGUCGAAGCUGGGAGAGUUACGCCACGGCCUUAGCAGUGUGCUCCAGCCGGCCUUUGGCAUCUCCAGCCCAAGGGAUCCAACCGAGUGGUGAGAUUGUCCCUGGGUGCCAGCCAUCGAUCAGUGUUUCCAGGGCCGCCCCGGAUCUAACUCUUGUAACCAAAAGGCUUGCUUCACAGAAACAUAUUCCGUUACCAAAACUAGACGACCUCAGGUAAAACUUGAGGUACUCGAGCCCGGAUCCUAAAAAUACGGGCUUUGGAGAAGGUGCUCUGGAGCCUGAUCUGCUACUGCGACUUGGGACUGGCACUGUCCUCGGCCACGAGAGGAACUUGUCCAUCUUCCACGGAAGCCAAUCUUGCUCUCCGUGGUACCUAGUCAGUCAUAAGUAAAUUACUGGUGUUGUAACUUUCGGAGCUGGAAAAGCCUUGACGUGCCGGGACGUGUAGUAUCGCAAGCUCGAUAUCUCUUCGGUAGUGAACCUCGUGGCAAAAUGGCAAAGUUAAUCUCGUUGGCUCGCAGUAAUUGAUUUAAUUCCAGCAUUGCACUGCGGAACACAAAAGGCAAAAGUAAUUUUCUUUAUCAACUGCAAAAGCUUACGCACGUCUUCAAUGUCAAGUUUUAGCUUCAGCCCUCGCAAGUUCUCCAACAAGAAGACUUUAAAGUGGAUGUGUCAACUCCUCGUAUCUGCAAACAGAGAACAGUGAAGAAGCAGCCACAACUUUAAACCAGACCUGCUCAUCAUUAUCUCCAUGUUCCAUCGCUAGGAAGAGGACUACCACUUGUUUGCUCAGGAAAUGCCUUCAACAUCCUGAAGAGACAUGAGAACAGAUAAAGAAAAACACAAAUAGUGGAAAAAGGAACUUCAAGGAACCUGCUCAAAGAUUCUGCAGUUAAUCGAACGUCACCUACUUCUGCUGACGCUUUCGAAAUGUUUCGAGAGGUCGUCCCUGAUAGACAAGAGCUGAAAACGUUAGUGUCUGAUAUUAAUCACGAGCAAAAAUUACCGCUUCCUCAACGUGCUCUUGGUAGAAAUCUUUUAUGGCUUCUGCACCUUGUCGGAUCCAGUUCAAAGUCGUCACUACCAGCCAACCGGGUAUUCUUAUUGGGCCUCUCAUACGAAGGCAACUGCAGUCACUUAAGCUAGUCAGGAAGUACAAGUUCUUACAUGCACUCUUUGAUGUUGCUGAGAUUUGCACGUAAGCACCGAACGACCCAUCUCAAUUUCUUCGUCCAUCCAAUCUCGUUUGGACAUGAUUUCUUUCGGUACGUAAGCGACAUACAGGCGGGCCUUCACGUCGUAGUAAACAUUCUAUACACGAAAAACAAAUUAAACUAUGGAUUGAUUAGCACGACUCUACUUACAGGAGGUAAAGCGUAAUUUCUUUGAGUUGCAUCGUAGACACUUGUCGAAGCAGCCCUGAUCAGAAAUGAAGGAAACAUGAAAAAGAACUUUUCUUGACAGAGUGCAAUACCUGAGUCAGCAGUACUGCAAGCUGCUCCUGAAUGAUUCCAAGCAUCGUUAUGCUCUCGGUAAUUCGACACGACGCAUCAUACACCAGCUUUUGAGUCGCAGAGCUUUCGGAGAUUAAGGCACGAAUCAUGCAGGCCAAGCCUUCCACAAAGGCGUGAGGACCUCUCUCCAGACCAUGAAUCGAAUUCUCAUCAUGUCAGCUCCCUGUGACAAAAUUCCUGGAACAUAAAGAAGAAAAACAAGGAGCAAACCUGAGAUCGAUGCUCAUGGAGGCCAGGAAGAAGGUAGCAGCACUCAUUCUUCCAUCUCGCAAAGUCAAUGCCGACUCAGCAGCGCCUCAGUCACGAAGCCCCAAACCCUAAGGUUUUAACGUCUCAAGAAAGAUGGAACAGAGCUCCAUGGCCAGAUUGCCAUGGCCGGAGAUUGUAGAUGCCAGACCCACGCGGAUUGUGGCAAUUUGGCAACGGCAAAUUGCUUGCGGGCUCUGCCGCAUAUUCUUGGAAUCAAGAGCCAUUUACAUUCUUCGAGUGUUUUGGAGAAGCCAUCUACCAGGUAGAAAUAGAAGCCUAUCUCUCGACUGAUUUUACUUCCAUCGCAAAAUGCCGCUUUCUUACAAUCAAUUACAUUACGACUAUGUUUCGAUUGUCGUCUCGCCAUCUUAGCUCCGGCCAGCCUUGUUUUUGUAUUCCAUUCGCAACAUGGAAAAGAUUUUAUCGCUAGAACAUUAGAUUUGGGUAAGCUUCCAGAUUUUGAUAUUAAGUUCCUAUACACUUUGAGAUCAUUGUUUCAUUGACAACAAUUAUAUGCUGUAUUUGUUGAAUAUGUGCUCAAUACUUCGACAAUGUUAUGAAUGUGAUUUUCAAAGUUUUAAUUUCGAGUACAAGGAUAAUACUCGUCAAUCAAUGUUUAACUGCCUCAGUGAUGGAGAAAGGAUCUGCUUCAAAGAAUCUCACGCUUCCGAAUCCACAUGAUUCCAGCAAAUUUUUCCAUCCAGCUUUCGUUCUCUGGUACCGCUGGCUCCCCGACAAGAACAUCAUAUCAAGCUGCAAGUGUAACUCCUUGCCUUCGUCCAUGACCAUGUCACAAAUGAUGAUUUUCCCAUCUGAUUCGAGGGCCGAGUGACAGUUCUUGACGAUCUUUGCCGCAUCAGCAUCCGCAAACAUGUGUAAGAAACUCUGCGCUCAAACACAUCUGAUGUAAGAUAGAAAAGAAACUAAUGCCCUCACUUUCAAGAAAAUGCCAUCCCCAGGUGGAACGAAGUCCAUAGCGUCUCCGGGAACGUUUUCCACGCCUGAUAGAAUUUUCAGCAAGAUCCAAGAAGAACUACAGAUCAUUACAAACUCGUACCUGGAUAUGCUGGAGCAUUUGAAAUGACCCGAGGAAGAUCGAAGUUCACAGCCUGGAUAUGCGGGUAGAGCCGCACAAUCUGAGCCAGAAACGAGCCCGUGUCACCCCCAACGUCGACAAGCCUCUUGACGCUCUUGAAACCAUCGUAGACUCGCGUAAUAGUAGCAAACGUUGCCGUGCUUACACUCAGCCUGAUAACUUUCCAAAACUCUGGAUGCGCUGCCACAUAGUCCUGAGGUUCCAUUCCAUGAGCUUCCACAAAAGCAUUGGAGUCGCCCGGCCGCUUGAUGGCAGCGUCUACAUGUUGCCACGAGAGCUGAGUGACUUCGGACGUGCAGAAGGAGAGAAUGCC
This 6706-nucleotide long non-coding RNA is filed under the name Selaginella moellendorffii. RNAcentral's name for it is "long non-coding RNA (SMOE_LNC000845)". Lineage: Eukaryota; Viridiplantae; Streptophyta; Lycopodiopsida; Selaginellales; Selaginellaceae. The record is from RNAcentral.